AGCGAACGCUGGCGGCAGGCUUAACACAUGCCAGUCGAGCGGGCAUCCUUGUGGUGUCCGCGGCAGACGGGUGAGUAACGCGUGGGAACGUGCCCUUCGGUUCGGAAUAACUCAGGGAAACUUGAGCUAAUACCGGAUACGUGCGAGAGCAGAAAGGUUUAUCUGCCGAAGGAUCGGCCCGCGUCUGAUUAGCUAGUUGGUGAGGUUAUGGCUCACCAAGGCGACGAUCAGUAGCUGGUCUGAGAGGAUGAUCAGCCACACUGGGACUGAGACACGGCCCAGACUCCUACGGGAGGCAGCAGUGGGGAAUAUUGGACAAUGGGGGCAACCCUGAUCCAGCCAUGCCGCGUGAGUGAUGACGGCCUUGGGGUUGUAAAGCUCUUUUCUCCGGGACGAUAAUGACGGUACCGGAGGAAUAAGCCCCGGCUAACUUCGUG
This 437-nucleotide ribosomal RNA is filed under the name uncultured bacterium. RNAcentral's name for it is "partial 16S ribosomal RNA". It matches the Rfam family "Bacterial small subunit ribosomal RNA", at positions 29 to 507 of the family's 1533-position model. The record is from RNAcentral.